UUUUGUUUCAGUGUGUCUGUAUUUAUUUAUUUAUUUAACACAAGACCCUGUAUCCUCACAGCCUGGUUUGGGACUCAUGUCUGACUGAUCUGACCAACUUUCACACUGUCUGAAUGGCAUCCAUGAGGACAAAGAGGAAAGAUGCAGAGGCUUCUGAUCAUUUGCGCUUGGACUAAACCACGGACCUGAAGGAUAAGUGGCAAUGGGGUCCUCCGGUCAUUUCCAGUCUACAAUGAUGAGAGAUUGGAUCGGCCUGUGGACAAUAGCACUCUCACAGAUGAACUCAGUUUUGUACCAGCCUUGGUGGAGUCUCCAUCCUCACAAUUGCAAUUACUUGAUGAUAAACAUGACAAAUCAAGAAAAGAUAUCUGAUGCGGUCCUUCACACUUCCAGGUCAGCUUCUGGUCUGUCUGUGGAUAUUUAUCUUAUCCUUUGGUCUUAAUUUCUGUCCCAACAAAGUUUGCUUUUCUGUGAUAGCCUGAAAAUUACUGUCUCUGUUGUAAACUGAACUCCUCUCAGUAUCGCAGAAGACAGCAGGAACCUUCUUUAAAGUGGGAAAGCAGCACUUAAUCUGCACACAAUAAGAAGAGUUGAAUUGACUUUAUCAUCUUAUUUGCUGAGUCUUGUCCUUUAGCUAGUCAAUAUUUGUAAUGAGUAAGCCUGUCUUCCUCAAAGUUUAUCUAAAGGUUUUCCAAACCUUUUAAGGUUCAAGAGUCUUAUACCUAUUAUACAUUUUCUUCACAGGUUUUCUAGAAUUUUCUUGAGUGUUAAUAAUUACACAUUGACAUCAGGCAAGGGAAAAUAAUCUCCUGCUAGCACCAAGUGGGAAGACUCUGAAUCUAAGGGUGGUAAUAGAUAUAUAUAAGCUAUCUAGCCAUGAAAAAGUACAUACCACUUAGGAUCUUGUAUCUUGAAAAAGAUCACCUUUCAUGACGAAGACUUCUUCAUAGCUUUCUACUAUCUCAGUUUCAAAAAUGCAGCCAUGAAAAAGGAAAAAAAUAAGUUGAAGAAUGUUUUAAGGUAAUUCAUUAAAUCUUCAUCACUGGUUUGAAUCCACAUGGAGAGAAAAUCCUGUGUACUGCACCAAAUACUGUCAACUGUACAGUAUAUACUAUACUG
Oxyura jamaicensis (ruddy duck) is the source of this 1119-nucleotide long non-coding RNA. RefSeq lists it as uncharacterized. Lineage: Eukaryota; Metazoa; Chordata; Aves; Anseriformes; Anatidae. The record is from RefSeq and is a predicted model, not a curated record. The transcript is spliced from 3 exons.